Long non-coding RNA from Arvicola amphibius (Eurasian water vole), 548 nucleotides. RefSeq lists it as uncharacterized. The transcript is spliced from 4 exons. NCBI's taxonomy places the organism in Eukaryota, Metazoa, Chordata, Mammalia, Rodentia, Cricetidae. The record is from RefSeq and is a predicted model, not a curated record.
GGAAUGAAUGCGCUAUUUGAUUUUCAUCUGGACACUCAGGUCCGUACUCAAAGUGAUUGGAGAGAAGAUAGGAUGCAUGCAAUGAGACCGGGUGCCUUCUACUCCUGCUUCAACGCCUUUCCUAUUGUGAUAGACUUCACCUCCUGGAACUAAAGGCCAAGCAAGUGUGGGGAGAAUGAAGGAAGAUUGCCUCAAGAAGAAAGCUGAGCAUUAUCUUUCCACAGAAGUGAAGUGAAUCUUGACAGCUAUGCAACUCUGUAUCCUAAUUCACAUGUGAAAAUCAAUCAUUCCCUCCAAGAAGGGUUACAUUCUGGAGGGAGUUCCUGACUACCUUGCUGAUUACAGGUCAUAGACUAUAAAACACCCCAGGACAAAACCUCUCUAUUUACUGCUCUUCCCACGUGUGUGACCCUGUGUCAUCCAGCACAUGCUCUAUUUCAAUUAACUUUUCACAGUCUCGUUCUUCCCAUUUUUCUUUUGCUAUUCAAGCACUGGUCCUUUCUCAUCUCGGUAGCUUGUGGAACACUCAAGACCCCAUUAAAGUCAAU